AUUGAACGCUGGCGGCAUGCUUUACACAUGCAAGUCGAACGGUAACAGGCCGCAAGGUGCUGACGAGUGGCGAACGGGUGAGUAAUGCAUCGGAACGUGCCCAGUCGUGGGGGAUAACUACUCGAAAGAGUAGCUAAUACCGCAUACGAUCUAUGGAUGAAAGCGGGGGACCGUAAGGCCUCGCGCGAUUGGAGCGGCCGAUGUCAGAUUAGGUAGUUGGUGGAGUAAAGGCUCACCAAGCCAACGAUCUGUAGCUGGUCUGAGAGGACGACCAGCCACACUGGGACUGAGACACGGCCCAGACUCCUACGGGAGGCAGCAGUGGGGAAUUUUGGACAAUGGGCGCAAGCCUGAUCCAGCAAUGCCGCGUGCAGGAAGAAGGCCUUCGGGUUGUAAACUGCUUUUGUACGGAACGAAACGGCUCUGGUUAAUACCCGGGGCUAAUGACGGUACCGUAAGAAUAAGCACCGGCUAACUACGUG
This 482-nucleotide ribosomal RNA is filed under the name uncultured bacterium. RNAcentral's name for it is "partial 16S ribosomal RNA". It matches the Rfam family "Bacterial small subunit ribosomal RNA", at positions 30 to 507 of the family's 1533-position model. The record is from RNAcentral.